UACGGAGGGUGCGAGCGUUAAUCGGAAUUACUGGGCGUAAAGCGCGCGUAGGCGGCUUCGUCAGUCAGAUGUGAAAGCCCCGGGCUCAACCUGGGAACUGCAUUUGAUACUGCGGAGCUAGAGUAUGGUAGAGGAUAGUGAAUUCCAGGUGUAAGCGGUGAAAUGCGUAGAUAUCUGGAGGAACAUCAGUGGCGAAGGCGACUGUCUGGACCAAUACUGACGCUGAGGUGCGAAA
Molecule: ribosomal RNA, 235 nt
Filed under: uncultured bacterium
Lineage: Bacteria
Description: partial 16S ribosomal RNA
Rfam family: Bacterial small subunit ribosomal RNA
Source: RNAcentral